CUGACGGAGCAAUACCGCGUGAGGGAUGACGGCCUAUGGGUUGUAAACCUCUUUUUUCAGGGAGGNAAUAAAUGACGUGUACCUGAAGAAUAAGCAUCGGCUAACUCCGUGCCAGCAGCCGCGGUAAGACGGAGGAUGCAAGUGUUAUCCGGAAUCACUGGGCGUAAAGCGUCUGUAGGUGGUUUAAUAAGUCAACUGUUAAAUCUUGAGGCUUAACCUCGAAAUCGCAGUCGAAACUAUUAGACUAGAGUAUAGUAGGGGUAAAGGGAAUUUCCAGUGGAGCGGUGAAAUGCGUAGAUAUUGGAAAGAACACCAAUGGCGAAGGCACUUUACUGGGCUAUUACUAACACUGAGAGACGAAAGCUAGGGUAGCAAAUGGGAUUAGAUACCCCAGUAGUCCUAGCCGUAAAC
This 411-nucleotide ribosomal RNA is filed under the name uncultured bacterium. RNAcentral's name for it is "bacterial SSU rRNA". It matches the Rfam family "Bacterial small subunit ribosomal RNA", at positions 383 to 807 of the family's 1533-position model. The record is from RNAcentral.